Molecule: long non-coding RNA, 2936 nt
Organism: Ictalurus punctatus (channel catfish)
Lineage: Eukaryota; Metazoa; Chordata; Actinopteri; Siluriformes; Ictaluridae
Source: Ensembl
AGUUCAAACCCCGCCCUCAUCAAAGUGAAAUGAUGGUAGGACGUCAGGAAAGUUCAGAAAGCGCCACAGCUGGUGAUACACAAGAACCACAACAUAUAGGAUGCAGCAUGAUUGCAGACAUGGUGAACUCCAGCUGUGGAACUGAACCACAUUUCAACAGGGUUAAAGAGCCUGAAUGUGAAACGGUACAAUUAAAAGAAUCAGACAAAGAGGUAUACAUCAGUGCAGCUGAGCAAGAAGCUGUUUCAGCUCCUGUUGUGAUCCUCUCUGACGUGACACGAGGCGAUGCAUGAAACAAGACAAUGUAACCAAAAUGGAGACUGAAGAACAUAGUGCUGAUAUCAAAAAUGAGCCCCAGGACCAGCCAGAUUUGGAAGAGCCUGCGAUUAAACUCCUUGGGGAAUUGGGCGAGGUGGAGAAUGCGACCAAGACAACCUCUAGUCCUGAACCACAGACAUCUCACAAAGACCAAUGCUCCCCAAACCCUUGCCAUGAAAGGUCAUUGGACGUGGAUGGAGAUGGUGUGCUUUUUCAAGAAAUAGAAGAGACUAAGAUGGAUCAGAAGGCUGGAGAUCAUGAUCCUGAAAUUUUAUCAGGUGCAGUACUAGAGCAUUUAGUAGAAACGUAUUUUAAUAGUGAGAUGCAGUUGCAGGCUACUGAAGGGACGGAAAUUUUGGAGCCUCCAGCAAAGAAAAGAUUAAGAAGAAGAAUGGGUAUGUGUGGCCUAGGAGACAGGAAGAGGAGAUUCCCCUUUGAUGGACAGCACUGUAGGCAGGGUCUUAUAGGAAGAGAGAGGGAAGAAGGACCUCUUAAGGGAAAUAAAUGUGCACAGCACCUGCAUGACCCGCUGUUGGAGAAUGAUGGUACCACACCAAUGAACAUGAAGGAACUACCAGACCCGCAUGUCAAGAAAAUGAAGAGGUUUUGAAAAACAAGGAGAACAAUAGUGCUGCAGUGAUUGAUGAUAAAAGAACACCAGGAGAAGCAGAAAAAGAACAAAAAAAAAACAUGAAUAAGUGCACUGCAUUGAUGAGAGACGGUGAUACCACAGAUGAAUCCCCUACAGAAAAUAGAGAUGUUCUGGAAAAAGUCAUAUUGGAGGAAAAUGAUGGUAUUGUAAUCAUGGAUAACAAAGGAACUACUGAACAAGUGGUUUCAGAGCAUCACCUUAAACUGUUAGAAGAUAUAUCACCAGGGGUUGGACAAACACUGUUAAGUCCUACCAUUGGGAAAAACUUGAACAUGAGCCAAGAUGAACGGUCAGUAGCUGCUGCUACCAGUGACCAUGAAAUAGAAACUGCUACCUGUGGUGAAGAACCAAAUGUCCCUGGGACCGACAUGACCAACAAUAGACAAGAUAUCGAAUUUAACAUGAAACACGACGUUCUGCCAGAGACACAGCAUCUUCAUGCUGAUUAUAAAGUGGGCGAGGACCCCGAUGAGAUUGCGAUGGAAGAUGAAGUUGCUCAGGAAGUGAUCUGUAGCUCAGUUUGUGCUACGGUUGAAAAGUCUGAAGGUUGUUUCAUAGUCACUAGACAGGUCCGAGAGGUUCCAACUGGUCUGGAAGAAAGUGAAAUGGAGAUUGAAGAGUGGUGUCCAUCCAAUAUGGCUCCCACUGAGAAACAUGACCCGAACGGACCUGAACUGGGCGGGUCCACUGAAAAAGGAUUGGACGCCAGAUUUGUCGACAGCACGGGUAUUGCUUCCAUUGAAAUACAUCAUGUGAAAGGUCACUGUGAAAACGACAAGCCCAUAACAGCUGUAUCAGGGAGUACAGAGCCUGCUGGAGGAGAUGCCAUCAAUGCUAAGCAGAACAGUGAACCUCUAGCACCACCUACUGUCCAGGAGAAGUGCAUGCAGUGUCUUUUAGACCAGAAUCACUGCGACACUUCUGUGACCUCUACUGUUGCUGAGCAGCAGGUCUGUAACCCCACCCUGACCCCUGCUCCUAGUGAGGCAUCUCAGGAGACUGGCUUAUCCGUUCCAUCGUCGCUUUACUCUAUGACGGACUCCCAACUCCAUAAAAUUGCAUUAAGCAUGGAGCUGGAGGACCAGCCUAUCCCAGAAGGCUGUGAUCACCAGGAGGAUGCCACAGAGCUUGUGCGUGGCCUCAUCAGAGAACUCUCCUCUAUAAAUCGUACCGUGAUGGCGGCACACCGUGAGAUGGAACUCUUGCGCCGUGGAAAACUUCUAAAGGCUCCGAAUCGUCGCCUUUGUGGUCCUCGCCAUACCGAGAUGUAACCACAUGAUGGAGAUAUGAUGCGGAUAAUAGUCUCAUCCUUCUAUAAAAUUAUUAUUUGGCAGUAGGGCCUAUAAUGCUUGUUUAUACAAAUCUUUGUUGAGGUGUAUAUAUAAAGAGGUAAGGAGUAAAUGGUGUAACUUUGAUUUUGUGUUCGAGACUGGAUCUGUCUAGGUUAGAGGAGUUCUACAGGUUUACUUGUUUGUCCAUAAAGUUUGAUCUGUUUUUAUUUUUAUACAGAAUGCAUUACUAGAGUGUCAGAAUGAGCCUCAGCAGUUUCUCAAGGCAGCUAGCCAUGUCUCACAUUCCGUCUUUUCGCUUUUCAGAAACUGAUUGAUACGAGUACUUAAGUAGAUUAAUGUGUAGACUUGCUUUUUUAUGUCACUUUGAAGUGGGAGCUCCUUUUUAAUGCGCUCACCACCAUAAUUGUUUUGUUUACAAGUCCUUGAGUUGGUGAAAAAUGUUUGUUUUAUUGUUGUAACUCCAAGACCAGUUGAUAAUUCGGUCAUCUACACUGGUGGGGUGUUUUUUUUUUUUAAAAAAAACUGGACCAUUUGUGCAGAAUGAACUGCUUCAAACCAGCCCACUUCUGUACCAGUAAACAACGUAAAGAUGAAUGUUGAAAGUGGUCUCUUUGUUUUCCUUCAUGUAAUAGGUCUGGCCUACAUAUACGCUCUUAAAAAUAAAAAAAGGUUCC